Molecule: long non-coding RNA, 1209 nt
Filed under: Homo sapiens (human)
Lineage: Eukaryota; Metazoa; Chordata; Mammalia; Primates; Hominidae
Description: HSALNT0076061
Source: RNAcentral
CGAGUCUGUUAAGGAUGGAAUAUUGGGGCCUUCCCCAUUCAAAUGCUAAAUCCCUAACCCCCAGUGUGGCUGUAUUUGGAGAUAGGGCUUCUAAGGCAAUAAUUAUGGUUAAAUGAGGUCAUAAGGGUGUGGCCCUGAUCUAACAGGAUUAGUGUCCUUAUAAGAGUGUGCUCUCUCUCCCUCUCCCUUUCCCUGUCCCACUUCCUCCUCCAUCUCCCUCUCUGCCUUUCUUCCUCUCUCUCCCUCUCUCCAUCACCAGAGCACACAGCAAGAAGCCAGACAUCUGUAAGCCAGGAAGACAGGCCUCCUCAGAGACCCCACAGGACCUAGAUCUGGACGACUUCCAGCCUCCAGAACUAAAUUAAGAGCUGAUGGAGUCCACCAAAUCCAGAGCCUCCCCCAAAGAAGAAGAAAUGGGACCCAGGAAGGAGGAAGGAGAAACAAAAGGAAUUCACAGGAUGAUGCUGAGGGGAAGCUUCAGGAAAGCAAUUUCUAAGGCCAGAGACCACCAGUCCAGAGGGAGAACUGAGAACUCCCGCAGGAUGCCACCAAGAAAACAAACAAAAAGAAUCCUACAGGUUGUCUGAUUUUACCAUAGUGAUGAAUUUGAUAGCUUUAGCAGAGUAUCUUAGGGUGAAAUAAAUAGUAAAGGGUGCAUAGAAAAGUAAGAAAAUAAAUAAAAGUAAAGCAAUGUUUAAUUCCAAGGGAAAAAUUUAAUCAUGGAACAAUAUGGCCCAAUUGUGACAAAUUUCCACUUAAUUGUAAUAAAAUCAAAUAAUUAUUUGUGGUUCAAUAAACAUCAGUGAAUAUUUUAUUAUGAUUAAAUAGAAAUUUGCCACAGUUGGGUCAUAUUGUUCUAUGAUUACAGCUAGAUUGAAAGGGCAGGGAAGAUACACUUGUGUUUUGAGUGAAGCAACUGCAGGAAUAACAGAAUAAAAUCUUCAUCUAUAAAAGCCAGCUAUCAAUGGAAAACUUAUAAUACACACUUUUUAAAAUAAAAAAGUAGUUCUGCAAGCUUAUUAUUAGAAAUAGGAAGGUAAAUAACAGAAACAGCAGCUAAAUGAUUUCAAGUUGUUGCUUCUAUAAAACAGAAAUUGAGGGUGGAGGGAAGGUGUGGUAGAAAAACACUCUUUUAUCAUAAUCAUCAUGAGUUUUAAAACUAUAUACCUAUAUUAAUGUCAUUUAAAAUUUCAAAGGAAAAUAUUAUAU